CGAGCUAAGUGAUCGUGGGGUUACUCUCCUGGCACAUCAUUUCUACUCUCCGACAAAAUCCACCCGUCUAAGUUCCUCUCCCUGAAGGCUACAAAACCAGAAAGGCUUGGCUGAAUCUGUUUCGAAACACAAAUCCAGGAUUAGAGAAGAACUCUACUGUUUGGAAUAGUGGUGGACUCGAUUCUUUGGAAUAUCUUGGUGAGUGAAAUGAAGUCACCAGCAAUAUUUUCUCCACACUGGUCACCGUGGGAACCGAAAGCAGUGAAGCCCAGUGGACUGACAACUGAGACGAUGCAGAUGCCACAGUAUGGGGGUCUAGGGGGCCAUCCUAAGAUGGGUAACACUUUGCUCAGAAGCUGGGACACCUACUGCUUCCUGCCCAGAUACAUCCCUAAAAGGACUUUAAAAGACUUUCUUUGAAGUUUGACGUAAAAAAAGAACUUUUCGGAAAUUGACUUUGUUUGAAGGAGCCUCCACCACUGCCACCACACCUACACGGGCAUUGUUUAGCUAGACAUCCUUGAAGGAGCCACACAGAUAUCCUGAAGACAGGGCCAUAUGACAGCGCCAGAACGAGUCUUCCUUGGACUACAAUCUGAUGAACAGAAACUUGCUUCACACACAUGCUUCACAGGAUCUGGAACUAUCUUCAGGGUUUUUCUUAACCACCCGAGGCACGGUCACCCUCAAAGAAAAAUUAAAAUGGAGAGCUCAAAAUUC
RNAcentral lists this long non-coding RNA (720 nucleotides) under Rattus norvegicus (Norway rat). RNAcentral's name for it is "long non-coding RNA NONRATT015819". The record is from RNAcentral. Lineage: Eukaryota; Metazoa; Chordata; Mammalia; Rodentia; Muridae.